This 342-nucleotide unclassified non-coding RNA is filed under the name soil metagenome. Its description in RNAcentral is "partial contains 5.8S ribosomal RNA, internal transcribed spacer 2, and large subunit ribosomal RNA". The stretch from base 1 to 120 matches the Rfam family "5.8S ribosomal RNA", at positions 35 to 154 of the family's 154-position model. The record is from RNAcentral.
GAUGAAGAACGUAGCGAAAUGCGAUAAGUAAUGUGAAUUGCAGAAUUCAGUGAAUCAUCGAAUCUUUGAACGCACAUUGCGCCCGCCAGCACUCUGUCGGGCAUGCCUGUUCGAGCGUCAUUUCAACCAUCAAGCCCCCAGGGGCUUGUGCUGGGGCCCUGCGGCUGCCCGCAGGCCCUGAAAACCAGUGGCGGGCUCGCUAGUCACACCGAGCGCAGUAGCACAUCUCGCUCAGGGCGUGCGGCGGGCUCCUGCCGUGAAACCCCCCACUGUAACCCCAAAGGUUGACCUCGGAUCAGGUAGGAAUACCCGCUGAACUUAAGCAUAUCAAUAAGCGGAGGA